GACGUAGGGGGCGAGCGUUGUCCGGAAUUACUGGGCGUAAAGAGCACGUAGGCGGGACUUUAAGUCAGAUGUGAAAGACCGGGGCUCAACUCCGGGAUUGCAUUUGAAACUGGAGUUCUUGAGGGCAGGAGAGGAAAGCAGAAUUCCUGGUGUAGCGGUGAAAUGCGUAGAAAUCAGGAGGAAUACCAGUGGCGAAGGCGGCUUUCUGGACUGACCCUGACGCUGAGGUGCGAAAGCGUGGGUAGCAAACAGG
Molecule: ribosomal RNA, 253 nt
Filed under: uncultured Syntrophomonas sp.
Lineage: Bacteria; Bacillati; Bacillota; Clostridia; Eubacteriales; Syntrophomonadaceae
Description: partial 16S ribosomal RNA
Rfam family: Bacterial small subunit ribosomal RNA
Source: RNAcentral